CCUACGGGUGGCAGCAGUAGGGAAUCUUGCACAAUGGACGAAAGUCUGAUGCAGCGACGCCGCGUGAGUGAAGAAGGGUUUCGGCUCGUAAAGCUCUGUCGGCAGUGAAGAAAGAUAGAGGUAGUAACUGGCCUGCAGUUGACGGUAAUUACUUAGAAAGUCCGGGCUAACUACGUGCAAGCAGCCGCGGUAAGACGUAGGUGGCAAGCGUUGUCCGGGUUUAUUGGGGGUAAAGGGAGUGCAGGCGGUACAAUAAGUCUGAUGUGAAAGCCCUGGGCUCAACCGGGGAAUUGCAUCAGAAACGGUUGAGCUUGAGUGCAGGAGAGGAGAGUGGAACUCCAAGGGUAGCGGUGGAAUGCGUAGAGAUAUGGAAGAACACCAGUGGCGAAGGCGGCUCACUGGUCUGCAACUGACGCUGAGGCUCGAAAGCAUGGGUAGCGAACAGGAUUAGAUACCCGAGUAGUC
This 465-nucleotide ribosomal RNA is filed under the name uncultured bacterium. RNAcentral describes it as "partial 16S ribosomal RNA". It matches the Rfam family "Bacterial small subunit ribosomal RNA", at positions 338 to 795 of the family's 1533-position model. The record is from RNAcentral.